AUUGAACGCUGGCGGCAGGCUUAACACAUGCAAGUCGAGCGGAGAUGAGGUGCUUGCACCUUAUCUUAGCGGCGGACGGGUGAGUAAUGCUUAGGAAUCUGCCUAUUAGUGGGGGACAACAUUCCGAAAGGAAUGCUAAUACCGCAUACGUCCUACGGGAGAAAGCAGGGGAUCUUCGGACCUUGCGCUAAUAGAUGAGCCUAAGUCGGAUUAGCUAGUUGGUGGGGUAAAGGCCUACCAAGGCGACGAUCUGUAGCGGGUCGGAGAGGAUGAUCCGCCACACUGGGACUGAGGCACGGCCCAGACUCCUGCGGGAGGCAGCAGUGGGGAAUAUUGGACAAUGGGGGGGAACCCUGAUCCAGCCAUGCCGCGUGUGUGAAGAAGGCCUUAUGGUUGUAAAGCACUUUAAGCGAGGAGGAGGCUACUGAGACUAAUACUCUUGGAUAGUGGACGUUACUCGCAGAAUAAGCACCGGCUAACUCUGUGCCAGCAGCCGCCGUAA
This 502-nucleotide ribosomal RNA is filed under the name uncultured bacterium. Its description in RNAcentral is "partial 16S ribosomal RNA". It matches the Rfam family "Bacterial small subunit ribosomal RNA", at positions 30 to 523 of the family's 1533-position model. The record is from RNAcentral.